RNAcentral lists this ribosomal RNA (274 nucleotides) under uncultured Lachnospiraceae bacterium. RNAcentral's name for it is "partial 16S ribosomal RNA". It matches the Rfam family "Bacterial small subunit ribosomal RNA", at positions 74 to 339 of the family's 1533-position model. Lineage: Bacteria; Bacillati; Bacillota; Clostridia; Lachnospirales; Lachnospiraceae. The record is from RNAcentral.
AUUCCUUCGGGAUGAAACAUUUGUGACUUAGUGGCGGACGGGUGAGUAACGCGUGGGUAACCUGCCUUAUACAGGGGGAUAACAGUUAGAAAUGACUGCUAAUACCGCAUAAGCGCACAGUCUCGCAUGGGACAGUGUGAAAAACUAUGGUGGUAUAAGAUGGACCCGCGUCUGAUUAGCUAGUUGGUGGGGUAAGGGCCUACCAAGGCGACGAUCAGUAGCCGACCUGAGAGGGUGAUCGGCCACAUUGGGACUGAGACACGGCCCAAACUCC